GGCUAUGAAAAUGUAUGAAGAACGAAUAAAACAUCCGCAUUCUUUGGACUCAGAGAAAUCACCAGCUUUAAUAGAUGCUAAUAGGGUGGCCCUCUUCAAAUCAGCAACCAGUCAGCACGCCCAGCUGUUACAGGGUAAUUCUGGGAACAUGUCUGCAGCUUUGCAGCAGAUCCAGGCACAAACCUCAUUGACAACUGACAUCAAGGGUGAAGUUAACUUGGGCCCAACUCAGAAAAGUUUGCUGAUGGAACUCUCAUCAAUCAAUGGACAAAUUUUACAAUCAAAGUCCGGACUAAGUGGUGCAGGUAAUUAUAGGAAGAGAUUGUCUUAUGAAAGUUUUUGACCAUUUUCAUGAGUAGAGUACACUUUAAUUUUGCCCAUAAAAUUUUAUAUACAACAUGGAUCAAACAAGGGUCCACAAUUAUUGUUUCUGUUAUUAUUCUCGUACUGAGACAUAGUAGCUUAAUUGAAUAAAUGUUUAAUAAGAGAGAAUUCAGUAGAAAUUUUGCCAUUUAGGAUUUCUGUCUCAACUGGUCCAAAUUUAGGUAGUUUAACCUAGACAAUGUUAAUAUCUCAAAUCUGAGUUUUUAAUACUUGAACAGACCUAGCUGGUCUCUUCUGAUGUUAUUAUCUAUAUGGAUCUGUGUGGCUGUGUAUUGGAUUCCAUGACAUAUACCACGGUACAAACCCAUUAAGGAUGGAUGCCACAGUGAAAAUCAUCAUAGAUUUUAAUCAUAGUGAUUAGGUUCAAAUACUGCCAAAGGCAAUUAUGAAAUAUGGUGAUUCUUAUAGAUUGAGAAAUAGAUAGAGCUGUCAAGUACUGACACAUUAUGAUGGAUAUGGGCACUCAUGAUGGGUCCCUAACCCAAGCCCAUAAAAUACAAGACAAGGCCCAUGAUGGGUCUGUAUACUAAGCUUAUGAACUUAGCCUUAUCUAUGAGCAGCUGUUGAAACAAAUUGAAAACUGCAAAUGGAGCAGUUUUUGACAACUAAGAGACAUGCUAUAGUGGUACAUAUAUAUUUGAUCAGAAACUUUAAAGUUAAGUGAAGUGCAUGAUAUGGAGAAGGCUAGUGUGAGAACAAAGUGUUAUUGUUGCUUGGAGCAAAACUGAAGCAGGAGCAAGUAAGCAAUCAUAAGGCUCUUGGUGCAUUAUUGUGCUGUAAUCUUUCUCAAAUUAUUUCUGUGGGAACCACUGCAAGUCCAGGUAACAUUGAGACUGUGAUUUUUAUGCAUGGUUCAAGUUAUUGUGACAAUGUACAGACCAUGUGAUGCAAAGUUGGUUUUAUGAGUUUAAUAUGCAUGAAUGAUAAUAUGCACAUGUAUACUUUAAUCUUGGCUUGUAUAUAUGUCUAACAUUGGUAUCAGAGCCUUGCUACUUGUUAUUCUUGGUCUAUAUAUGAUUAUUAACGUGAUAAAUAUUUGUUAGAAUGAUAGAAAUGGUGUUUGGCUUUUUCUGUUACAAUUCUGGAUAUAUGUAAAAUAUGUUCGUCAUGCUUAAUUUGGACCUUCAAAACUUGUUUUGUAUUUAUCUAUUGGAUGUGUUUUUUAUACCAUAUGAAACUAGAGAUUCCAAUCUUUUUAUAGAUAUAUGGUAUGCCUUUUUGGAUAAAAACCAAGAAAGUUAUAGGCUUGUAAAAUCA
RNAcentral lists this unclassified non-coding RNA (1641 nucleotides) under Hevea brasiliensis (rubber tree). Lineage: Eukaryota; Viridiplantae; Streptophyta; Magnoliopsida; Malpighiales; Euphorbiaceae. The record is from RNAcentral.